AGUAAGGGGGGACUUAUGUGCAAUUUUUUUCAUCUUUUCACAAAAACAAAAUACAGCAAGGCCCCCUCCCCUACUUCCUUCUUCCUACGGGCCACCCAACCCCCCACGACACCACUCUUCCUCCUGCCCCCUACUCCCAUUUUUGUUGCCUACCACAUGCUUCCAGCCAUGGCAAACUUUUUCCUCCCUUCCUGUCGUCGGCGUCGCCUCCUUCCUCUUCCUUUCUUGUUGUCGUCGUCGGGCUUGAGGGAGGAAAGCUCCCUUCCUUGCUACCGCCGUCGAAACAACUGCCUGCCGCCCUCUCCUUGCAAAUCCGGCUACGAAAUUGUGCUCCCCAUCAUUGAAAACCCAAGAUCAGCUCCUCAUUGUUGUUGAACAACCAUUUUCCAGCUCUUCCAAGCCUCACCGGAGCCAAAACUUUCUGAUCUCAAUCUGAUGGCUUCCGGUGAGUUUUAGGCGAAGACAUCUACAUUUUUGGACUCCUCACAGCUAAGACUUCGCGUAGGCGUCUCCAGAUUCGAAAUCAGACGCCGUUAGCGGUACCGGCUUUCGGAUUCCGGUGUUUCCGAACGCGCAGAAUUUCAGAUUUUAGCUCAGUAUAAUUUUUGUUUGGACCUUAGAAAUUAUUUUAAAAUUUUAGAAAAUGUUUGAUGCAUUAAUUGUUAACUAGUAAUAAUUGAAUAAAUUAUUUAAUUAAUUAGUAACUAAUCCUAGAAAUGCUAUAGAUUAAUUAUAGUGGAAAUUAUUAUUUUAUUUUAUAAUUUGAGGCUGUGGUUAAUUAAAUUAAAAUGCGAAAAAAAUAUUUGCGUGUUUUACAGUGAAAUAAUAUUCGUUUUCGGGCUGUUAAUUAUUGUAUUGUGAACUGGUUGUGUUGUGGAGUUAGAAAAAAUAAUGCAGUUUUGGUGGCCGACUCCUGUUAAAUAAUUGUGAAAUAUUUGUAAGUGUUUCUAGCAGGUCCUUAAGGGGGAUAAACGCUCAUAUUUUAGAUGAAGUUUUGCUAAAUUUUCGGUAGAAUUUUCGAGUCAGAAACAGUCAGAAUUUUUUUAGGCAGUCUAAUCUAAAAAUCUAGGCCUAAGAAAAAUUAUGAGUCUUUUAUUAAUUUAAUCAUUUUCGUGAAUAGAUAAUCUGUCAAUCCAGGCAGCUCCACCUGAAGUAUAGGAGCAGACAACGAAACUUGGCAGAACUGUGAGUUAGAAUCAUAUAUUCUACCGCCUGUAUCAUAUCUGCAUUUAAAUAAAAUUCUUAAACGAAUAUUUAUUAUGAUUAUUUUAGUAGUAUAAAUAUUAUUAAAAUUUAUUUUUAUUUAUUUUCAUUAUUAUCAAUAUUAUUAAUAUUGAUAUUUUUAUUGUUAUUAUUCUUAUUAUUAUUAUUAUUAUUAUUAUUUGUGCCAUUACAUUUAUUAUUAUCUUUAUUAUUAUUAUUAUUAUUAUUAUUAUUAUUAUGAUUACUGUUACUGUUGUUUAAAUAUUAUUAAUUUUCUAAAAUUGCAUUACUUCACUAUACUGCUAUUACUACCGUGAUUGUUGACUAUCAUCUUGCAUGUAAUAUUGCUGAUGUUAAUGUUUUGUGGCUCGGGAUGAGGCAACAGUAGAACAUGCCACCUGAUGGCUAUAUUAGGACCGUGUGCGCACCGGUGAAAAUCAGAGUCUCGUAAUAGAGGAAUAUUCGAUGAUUGGGCCUUGGUCGAGCAUAGCUUUCUGGGACUAUGGAAGUCUGAUUUGCCGGAGAAAGGUUCAUGGUCGAGCAUUUCUCUCUAGGUACCGGCUAUAUUGGUAUUUUAGUGACUAGACUGGACUUAAGGACCCUGGUCAAACUUUCCUCUCUGAGUACCAGUCUUAUUAGAUUAAGAGAGUCGAAAGGCUACUAGAAUUGGAGGUUUAGGAUUCUGCUGUAGUACUCGUCUCGUGUGUAUUAAAAUUAUAUGUUCUUUUAAAAUUACGAUGUGACACACAUUUAUUAUUUUGAGAUAUUUUAUACUAUUAAAUAAUUAUUUUAUAUUUUUGGUUGCUUAAAUUCAAAGUACAUGAUUUUAACUCACUUUCGAGACUGACACUCUUAAUUUUAAUUUUUUAGGUGACAACUAGAUUCUCCGUAGACU
Molecule: long non-coding RNA, 2098 nt
Filed under: Ricinus communis (castor bean)
Lineage: Eukaryota; Viridiplantae; Streptophyta; Magnoliopsida; Malpighiales; Euphorbiaceae
Description: long non-coding RNA (RCOM_LNC002779)
Source: RNAcentral